This 433-nucleotide ribosomal RNA is filed under the name Actinobaculum sp. oral taxon 183. RNAcentral describes it as "bacterial SSU rRNA". It matches the Rfam family "Bacterial small subunit ribosomal RNA", at positions 28 to 455 of the family's 1533-position model. Lineage: Bacteria; Bacillati; Actinomycetota; Actinomycetes; Actinomycetales; Actinomycetaceae. The record is from RNAcentral.
GACGAACGCUGGCGGCGUGCUUAACACAUGCAAGUCGAACGGGCUCUGUCUGGCUGUGUGCUGGGUGGGGUUAGUGGCGAACGGGUGAGUAAUACGUGAGUAACCUGCCCUCUUCUUUGGGAUAAGCCUUGGAAACGGGGUCUAAUACUGGAUAUUCCUGUCUGGUCGCAUGGCUGGGUGGGGAAAGUUUUUUCGGUGGGGGAUGGGCUCGCGGCCUAUCAGCUUGUUGGUGGGGUGAUGGCCUACCAAGGCGUCGACGGGUAGCCGGCCUGAGAGGGUGACCGGCCACACUGGGACUGAGAUACGGCCCAGACUCCUACGGGAGGCAGCAGUGGGGGAUAUUGCACAAUGGGCGCAAGCCUGAUGCAGCGACGCCGCGUGGGGGAUGACGGCUUUCGGGUUGUAAACCUCUUUCGUCGGGGGACAAGGCUCU